GUUGAUGAGAAGGGCAGAAGGUGUUGUGUAUUGAAACAUAUUGCUUAGAUUUUUUACUACAUUGUAAGAAAUCACUACACUCAUAGACUUUUUAAUCUACAUACUGUAGUUGUUAAAUGAGUUGUAUUGAUAUAUAACUCGAGUGGAAUUUUCAGAAGUAGCUAAUACACUAGAUGAAAUCAAUUAUAACAACUGCAUAGAGGAUUUUGUCUUAAUAUCUGCUAGACUGCUGUCUGCCUGUCUUUGACCAUAAUAUCAGGCUGCUGGAAUGCCACCUGUACCGGUAUAUUGGAAACUUGUAUUACUUACAUGUUGCAAACAUCACUAGUUCACUACCUACAGCUUAUUAUUCAAUUAUGUAAUUUUUUCUCAUUUUCUCCCUUUCUGUUUUUCCUUUCUUUCUUUCUCUUUACUUUUUUUCUUUUGAGACUUUUAAGUUUUACCCUCCAUUUUUU
Molecule: long non-coding RNA, 455 nt
Filed under: Paramuricea clavata
Lineage: Eukaryota; Metazoa; Cnidaria; Anthozoa; Malacalcyonacea; Plexauridae
Source: RNAcentral